GACGAACGCUGGUGGCGUGCUUAACACAUGCAAGUCGAACGGAAAGGCACUGCUUUUGUGGGGUGCUCGAGUGGCGAACGGGUGCGUAACACGUGAGUAACCUGCCCUUGACUUUGGGAUAACUUCAGGAAACUGGGGCUAAUACAGGAUCGGAGCUCCUGCUGCAUGGUGGGGGUUGGAAAGUUUCGGCGGUUGGGGAUGGACUCGCGGCUUAUCAGCUUGUUGGUGGGGUAGUGGCUUACCAAGGCUUUGACGGGUCGCCGGCCUGAGAGGGUGACCGGCCACAUUAGGACUGAGAUACGGCCCAGACUCCUACGGGAGGCAGCAGGGGGGAAUAUUGCACAAUGGGCGGAAGCCUGAUGCAGCAACGCCGCGUGCGGGAUGACGGCCUUCGGGUUGUGAACCGCUUUCGCCUGUGACGAAGCGUGAGUGACGGUAAUGGGUAAAGAAGCACCGGCUAACUACGUG
Molecule: ribosomal RNA, 468 nt
Filed under: uncultured bacterium
Lineage: Bacteria
Description: partial 16S ribosomal RNA
Rfam family: Bacterial small subunit ribosomal RNA
Source: RNAcentral